Molecule: long non-coding RNA, 301 nt
Filed under: Rhipicephalus microplus (southern cattle tick)
Lineage: Eukaryota; Metazoa; Arthropoda; Arachnida; Ixodida; Ixodidae
Description: uncharacterized LOC119187078, transcript variant X1
Source: RNAcentral
UGGGUAGCAAAACGAAUGCCAAUAUCAAAAAAUAAAUUGCAUGGUCACUGGGUUGGAAGAUACCAUUUGCUGAAGCUGCCUGUAUGCAUCGCCCUGACGUGUACGCAAGCCCAAUAAAGUUUAUGCACUCCAAGGUCAUCUACCUAAACUUAUCUACGAUGGAGUAUCCUGAUAUAAAUUGCAUUAAAGAAUAUCGAGUAACGUGGAACCACAGUGCUCGGUUAAUGACUAAGAUGAUGUGGAUCGGCUCCUCAACUGGGAAUUGGACGGUUGGCAAAAAGGCUGGGAUGUUUGAUGUGUA